Molecule: ribosomal RNA, 519 nt
Filed under: uncultured eukaryote
Lineage: Eukaryota
Description: SSU rRNA
Rfam family: Eukaryotic small subunit ribosomal RNA
Source: RNAcentral
AGGGCACCACCAGGAGUGGAGCCUGCGGCUUAAUUUGACUCAACACGGGAAAACUCACCCGGCCCGGACACCGUAAGGAUUGACAGAUUGAGAGCUCUUUCUUGAUUCGGUGGGUGGUGGUGCAUGGCCGUUCUUAGUUGGUGGAGCGAUUUGUCUGGUUAAUUCCGAUAACGAACGAGACUCUAGCCUGCUAAAUAGGCAGUGGAUUCUUAGUCCACUGUACUUCUUAGAGGGACAAGCAGCGUCUAGCUGCACGAGAUUGAGCAAUAACAGGUCUGUGGUGCCCUUAGAUGUUCGGGGCUGCACGCGCGCUACACUGAAGGAAUCAACAUGCUUCUCAACCUUGCCCGGAAGGGCUAGGUAACCCGUUGAAACUCCUUCGUGAUUGGGAUAGGGAAUUGCAAUUAUUUCCCUUGAACGAGGAAUUCCCAGUAAGUGCGGGUCAUCAGCUCGCGCUGAUUACGUCCCUGCCCUUUGUACACACCGCCCGUCGCUACUACCGAUUGGAAGUAAGACGAG